UAUCGGGAAACCAAAGCUUUUGUGUUCCGGGGGGAGUACAUUCGCAAGGCUGAAACUUAAAGGAAUUGACGGAGAACCACCACCAGGCGUGGAGUGUGUGGCUUAAUUCGACUCAACACGGGAAAUUUUACCAGGCCAGGACGUGAUUAUGAUUGCCGGAUUGAUAGACCUUGCAUGAUUUCGCGAAGGGUGGUGCAUGGCCGCUUCUGGUUGGUGAAGUGAUUUGUCUGCUUAAUUGCGAUAACGAACGAGAUCUCUGCCAAUUAAUAGAUGGUCGCUCCGUUGUAAGUAUCUGGCCACCGUUGAGGUUUCGGCUGAUUCGGAUGGUGGGACAGCUGUCCCUAAAUAGGUACUGAGGAGGUGACAGAAAAGCCCUUCUGGGUGUUUACUUAUUGGGAUUAUGCAAUCUUCCAAUUGCAUUGAAACAAGAGCCCAAAGCAGGUCUGUGAUGCUCCUUAAAUGUCCUGGGCUGCACGCGCACUACACUGAUUCAGCCAACGAGCUUCUGCUGGGAACAUGCUUCUGUAUGUUCACAGCAGCCUUGUCCGAAGGGAUCGGGGAAUCUUUUGAAACUGAGUCGUGAUGGGGAUUGAUGCUUGUAAUUAUUCUCCAUGAACGAGGAAUGCCUUGUACUCGCGUCUCAUCAGGACGCAAGGAAUAUGUCCCUGGUUCUUGUACACACCGCCCGUCGCUAUCUGUGAUGGAUUUCACGUAGAGCACUUUGGAGGUUUGAUUUAGGGGCAACUCUACUUCUGCCAAAGUUGUGCAAUACUUGGAAUCUAGAAGAGAUAGAAGUCGUAACAAGGUUCCUGUAGGUGAACCUGCAGAAGGAUCAA
RNAcentral lists this ribosomal RNA (836 nucleotides) under uncultured marine eukaryote. Its description in RNAcentral is "bacterial SSU rRNA". It matches the Rfam family "Eukaryotic small subunit ribosomal RNA", at positions 1088 to 1829 of the family's 1831-position model. The record is from RNAcentral.